Molecule: long non-coding RNA, 461 nt
Filed under: Vigna radiata
Lineage: Eukaryota; Viridiplantae; Streptophyta; Magnoliopsida; Fabales; Fabaceae
Description: long non-coding RNA (VRAD_LNC009249)
Source: RNAcentral
GUCCAUGGAACUCCCCUGUGCUCCGCAGAAGCUGAGAAUAACCCCAAUAGUCUCUAAGCAAAUCAGGGGAGCUCUGAAACGGCGCCCCCUGCAUCACCGUCGGAGAAUAACCAGUUACUGCUGGAACAUCAACGGAGCCCGAGAGUGAGGUGGCCGGAAAAUCGGGAAGGUGAGGAGGUCGAACCGCAGUAACGUUUUCGGGGAAGUUGAGUUUGGCUCUGUUACCUCUAAACCUCAAUGCGGCCUCAUCGUAGGCUCUGGCAGCAGCCUCGGCGGUGUCGAAGGUGCCAAGCCACACUCUCGCCGCUUUGUGAGGAUCGCGAAUCUCCGCCGCCCAUUUCCCCCACGGCCUCUGCCUCACCCCUCUGUAUCUCCUCCUCCUCUCGCCGCUUUCUUCCUGUGACGCAGUCUGUGACGAACCACCCUCACCCCCACUCGCCGCAGAAGUAGUGUCAUCUUCA